RNAcentral lists this unclassified non-coding RNA (230 nucleotides) under Hevea brasiliensis (rubber tree). The record is from RNAcentral. Lineage: Eukaryota; Viridiplantae; Streptophyta; Magnoliopsida; Malpighiales; Euphorbiaceae.
AGUUGAUGCUGAUGGAAAUGGAACUAUCGAUUUUCCUGAGUUUCUUAAUCUGAUGGCAAGAAAAAUGAAGGACACUGAUUCAGAGGAGGAGCUCAAGGAAGCUUUCCGUGUGUUUGAUAAAGAUCAGAAUGGGUUCAUUUCUGCCGCUGAGCUUCGGCAUGUAAUGACAAAUCUUGGUGAGAAGUUAACAGACGAGGAGGUUGAUGAAAUGAUCCGUGAGGCAGAUGUUG